This is a long non-coding RNA of Bacillus rossius redtenbacheri, 17673 nucleotides long. RefSeq lists it as uncharacterized. Lineage: Eukaryota; Metazoa; Arthropoda; Insecta; Phasmatodea; Bacillidae. The transcript has 2 exons. The record is from RefSeq and is a predicted model, not a curated record.
GUUCCCCCCCCCCCCCUCUUGUGGGCACCCCUGUCUAAGCUGUAAUAUAGAGCGAGCAUGUCGAUGAGCUUUACUAACAGCAUGUGACAAUAUACGAAAAAAAAAAAAAAACUCAAUAUCAAGCGAAUGAUACAAAUGAAAAUAAGAACUCGGUAACAACCUGUGUAAAUUUAUUAUAUAAUUAUUUUUAUAUAGAAAAACAAACUCAGUACUUCUCAUACAUAUAUAUAUAUAUACACACACACAUAGCCUACAUAAUUAUAUUCAUUUCCGAGCGUUCAGGUAGGUACAUGCGUACAUAAGUAUACAAAAAAGUACGUUAAGCUCAAAUAUUAAAUUACAAUUUAAUUAAUUUUGCCCUAAUCACGAACACGUAACAGUAACUACAUGAAAACGUAACCCCCAGAGGUGCCAACCUUUCACCAAUCUUUCAGUAAUAUAUUUGUAAAACUUCAGUAAUUUUCAGUAAUUAACAAAUUACCUAUUACACCAUUAACGACAAAAUCAAUUCAAACGAAAUCGUACACAAGAAAACCACACACAAACUUACAGCACUAGAAAUAUAAACAUUCAGCUAAACCAAAUAGGCCUACUUAGAAAGUUCAAUUUAACUCACCUAUUUGAGCAGAUGAAUGUCAUUUUCAACUUAGGCCUAAUAGUUUAUGUACAAUUUCAAUUUUCAUAUAUAGUAAGUUUCACAUCAGUUUUUAAUCAAAUGGCGUGCACAUGGAUGCCCUCUUUUUUCACACACAGGAUAAGGCUAAGUAUGUCAAAUCAAUACACUUAUAAUGUUUCAACAACAUGUGUAAAAUUAUAUACAGUUAAAAUUUGAUGUGCCAAGAAUUUCACUCAAUUAUGGCGACUUUUGCAACAUUUUGUUAGUUGCUUUUUUUGCUCGAACAAGCAGUUCUUUGCUGAAUUUCUGUUCGUAACAUACUUUCCCGCUAACCAUCAUGUGAACUUUUUGUAUGAUUAACGACUCUAACAAUUUGGAGCCUAAUGUUGAACGGAAUUCUGUUUUGUUCUUCCUGACUAUGCUGAAUAUUCUUUCACAAAAGGCAUUACUGUGAGGAAUGCACAAAACUGCUAACAUUACUUUUGGGAGAACACUGAACUUAGGCGCACCAUCAGCAGUUUUCAUAUUCAUGAUUAAAUGCCACGAAACAUCCAUUCUGUCACUAUUGAGAAUUUCUUGAGGGAGGUUCUCUGCUUGAUACCUGGCAAACUCAAGUUCCAAAUUGGACGUUUCCUCCUCACUUAACAAGAUACUUAAUUUCUUACAGAAAAAUUCCACAGAGUCAUAUGUCAUGUUAUCACGUUGAUUAACAUCUGCCACUGCUGCAUGAAUCAAGAUUUCACUGUUGAGUGGAAAUUUGUCCACAAUGUAUUUACAGGCUGACUGAAAAGAUUUCCUGACACUGUUGUAGAAUACAGUAAUAUUUUCUUCACUUAGUCAUACACUACUGUCUUUCAUGUAGGACCUAGUUUCGAAGCCAAUCACAAUACUGUCGUUUUCUUUUUGUGAUUUUCUGUUGCAAUACUCUAUUGCCAAGACACUGUCAGCAUUUUUGAUGGCUUCAGGCUUAAUAAAUCUUACAUACAGUUCACUUAGCAAAGAUAGGAGUUCACCGCGAAGAAAAUGAAUAAGUGUGUCCUCAUUUUGCAGCAAAACAUUAACCUUUGUGAACACUGGAACAGUGCUCUGAAGAAAAAGACAGUACAACUUCGUAACUGGUGAAGAAAUAGCUUUUUUAAUCCUAUCGAAUCUACUAUUGGAGUAAACAGGCUUAAUCUUGCUGACUGCAAUAUUUUUUACUGGUCGGUCAUUGGUUGAACCAUGUUUCUUGCGUUUACUUGAUUUAGCAGACUGACUGCUGAAGGAUUUGUGGCUCGCAAUUUUAUCUUUUGAAAUCAGUUUUGUAGGUUCACUCGUCUUAGAUUGAGGACACAUUCCCAAUUUAUUAGAUGAUGUAGACGUAACACUUGCAACAAGCUUACUAUAACUCACUGGAGUGGGAGUGGAAACAUAUUUUGGCGUACAGUUGUUUCCAGCUGAGUCAAAAGAAGAAACUGAAACAGCCGACACCCUAGCUACAUUAACAUUAGAUCUUCCUGCUGGUAGUGUUUUGUCACCAAGGAUAAAUGUUUGUAAUGUAGGCCACUGUUCUAACAACCUGUCAACACAAUUUUUCAGUGACAGCCAUCUAGUGCUGGUAUGUUUCAAUAUUUUAUGGGUUGCUGCAUCACAAAGAACUUGACACUAUUUCAAUUUCUGAUGACGCAGAGCACUUUUGUCCAAAUAAUAAUACAGAUCUAUCAAUAAAUCUUCAAUAGAAACAGGUAACUCUUUAGUUGCUUUCUGUGCAGCUAUAUGUAUUAGGUGACAUGCACAUCCUUGUACGAAAAUAUUAGGAUUUUCCUUAGUAAUAAAGGCAGCAGUUCCUUUAUGCAGGCCAGUCACAGUGGAACAAUUAUCAGUAGCAAAGCAAAUGCAGUUGCUCCAUAAAAGGCCUUUAUUAUGCAGCUCUUUAUUUAGGAGUUUGAAAAUAUUUUCCCCAGUAUUUGACAUAACACAAACUGGAAGAGCCAAAACUUCAGGAACUAUUUUCCCUAAAUCAGAUCUGUAGGCUGUAACAACUAUCGGGUACAGAGUUUCCUCACCAGCAUGAUGACUACCGUCGGUAGCGAUACUAAAAGCUGACCUCACCGCAUUUCUCACGAUUUCCUCUUGGGAAGCUUCUGCAAGUGUCUGGAUUACAGCUGUAGUCUUGGUUCGUUUGAAGGAGUAUUUUUCAAUAAUUUUUGAAUCGGGACACAUUGCCUUUAAUAACGGGCCCAUGUGGUCUGCUACGGCAAGCAGUAUGUUAUGUUCCACUAAAAACGUAGCAAAAAGCACUUCCGCAUUUGUUUUAGGAUCGACGGCAUCACUCUUAAAAAAAGAAGUUACAGGCUUGUUCAAAGCUUUCAAUUUAGAAAAUUCGACAUGUUUUUUUUUUUUGCUAUUUACGUGACGCCGGUAAUCGUACGCUAAAGUUACAUUUACACAAAUCACAAAAUACAUGUUGUUCUGAUACACUUGAGGCACUUAAAGAUGUCCAUAACUGCGAAUAUAUUGGACGGUAUUUCUGACCAGUUUUUGGUUUCGAAUUCAUUGUCGAAAUUUAGAAGUUAACGCACACAUUUUACUUUGACUUCACUCGUGUGGCUUACAAAAACAAACAGAACAACAGCGCUACUGCAGCGGCGCAGCAUAGCAUUCCGCGGAAGAAGCAACUCGAGAUAAAACAAACGAAGCCGGACGCAUGCGCCGAGGCUGCUUCAGAGUAAUGGCUGUUGUUUUCGCCACACGCCACACUUCGGGUAGAUACGUUAAACCUAAUGUACAUCUUCGGGCAAAUGCUCGUUAGCUGACAGCAGUUGCCACUAACGGAAUGUUGUUAAAUCUAUGGAAAGUUGUGACGUCACGCAAUUUGAACAAUAACAAGCACAGAUACGUAAACACGAAUGCUAAAAAUAAGAUUUGUGAUUUUGAAAAUAACAAAUUCCAUAGUUUUAAAAAGACCAAUCGUAAUUCCGUAAUAAAGCACUAUUAUUCGUAUAAAUUACGGCAAAUUCGUAGUACUUGGCACCUCUAGUUAAGUCUUAAGAAAGCUUAAAGCAACCAGACCCGGAACUAUAAGGGCCAAGAAAAUAUGUCGUACAAUCUGUAGAUACGAAAUAACAAGCUUGUAAAAAUUAUACAAAAUGGCACAUUAGCAGCAUGCGCCCAAAUACAUAAUUCAUUCUUCUCAAUAUAUUCAAUACACGAACGUAAGAUUUCAAGGGCAAAUUUACAAUACAGAGAUUCAAACUAGAAAGUAGACAAUGUAAGUAAGCCACGCGAGGCCGAUCAAGGCUGGUGAACAGUCAAAUGGUAAUCUAUACACCUUUUCACAUAGACUAUAGACAAGAAAUUAAUUUUCUUCACAUAAUUUCAUUACGGAGAAAUGCCUAAACGCAUGUAAAUACAAGAUUAAAUUGGAACUUGAAAUUAGGCCACAUGAAAUAUCACAGACGACAGUGUGAUUCGCUGCGACGAGACAUGGCCCGAGAGUAAACCACCUCAUUUUAAAGUGAAAUGCAAAAUACAACCAUGCACUAAGAGAAGUUAAACCAAACAUCAGUUUAAACAGUGGCGACCAAAGAAACAAUUUAGAAUUAUAAGGAAUUGUAAACAAUUCCCGUUACAUUAUAAGAUGAAGCCACCUUCCAUCAUUAAAUACACUAGUCAAACAACAAUUACGUACCAUGUCACACCAGACCGUCACGUCACUAGAGUCACUAGUCCGAACAAAGAAAACUAGCUCGCAAAUUUACUCAGAAACAGGAGCGAUUGGCCUGAAACAUAUGAAGUGAAGGAGGAAUUUUUUCUUAACCUAACUAAAAACUAUGUGUGUUUGGGAGGGUUCCGCAUUAGGGAGGGAGACUAAGUGCGUCUCAAGCCAAAGCCUAUACGCUCUAAUAAUGCAGGAUAUUAGCCAUGCAAGAGGGGUAGUAUGCAUCAUGUGCUAGGAGGGGGAUUGGCCAGCCAUGGCAGCGAUUGGCGCCAUGACUAACUCCCCUCACUGACUAUUCUUAAGUAAAACUAGAUUAUUUGUGCCCAGGUAAAACCUGCAUAGACACAGGGAAAAACCUGGGAAGCAAAAAUCCAUGCAUUAAUAUCAAGCAGGUUGGUUUCAGGAAAAAGAAGGAUGGUUCUGGAAGAAAAGUUGGACUAGUAGUAAAGUGUCUACCACGCGGCCGGGGGAGGGGGGAGUUGGGUGCUUGAACAUUGUUGUCCGCAUUGUUUUGGGUGGCACUGGUUGUUUCGGGGGCGAAUUUUUGUCGUUUCGCGCCGGGCUGUCAGCCAGCCCAAUUUAAAUAGGAAGUAUGAAAUAAAAAAUAGUUAAGUUAAUCGACGCCGGAUUCAAUCCUGCAAAUGUGUGUUAUGCAGCGUGCGAUUCAAAAUUUCAUGCCUUUCAGAAACACAGCCGGCACUGCAGGUGAAGCCUGCCAGGCGAGCCAUGCCCAUCAGGCAGAGAACCCUAGGGUGCCGAUCAUAUACCUGCGUGCUUCUCACUAUUUUGAAUCAGCACUGUGAUUUGUUUAUCUCGAGAGGUGUUGUUUUUUUUGGAAAUUUUCGCAAGUUAAUCCAAGUGUGUAAGGGGAGGGUCCAGGUUAGGGCAGGACCUAAGUGUGUCUCAGGCUGAAGCCUAUACACUCUACCAUGCGGGGUAUUAACCAUGCAGAACAAGGACGCGUGAAUCAUGUGCUAAUUGCAGUUUAUUGGCCAGCCACUGACCGGUCCGUAACGGCGUGGUUGGGGUCCGACCUCGGCUAUGCGCAGUGCGACUGGAUUGGCCGGCUUCUCGGCCAAUCGCGCGUCACUACGGGGGGCGAUACGAGAGGAUUGAUUUUGGGCAUUUGUAUUAUUGUUGCACGUCGGGAUCAUAAUUUUCAAGAGAGGAAACAUGUGGGUUAAAACUAUUUAUGCAUUUAUCGUAAAAUGUUUGUGUAGUUCGGAUGUAGAAGUCUUGCAAGGUUUCCGACUCGGUUUCACGAUGCAAUGCUUCUACAGGGCAGUACACUGGGGCGUGUGUAGCGAUUAGAAUACACUUGUUCUGAAUUCGCUGUAGUUUUAACAGGUGUGUGGGGCCUGCAGUUGCCCAGACAGGGGCUGUGUAAGGUAUGAUGGGCUGGAUGAGAGCUUUUUAGAGCAGCAAACCAUUUUUGACAGUGCUGCCGCGUCGCCUACUCAUGACUGGGCAUAGGGAGCUCAUUCUAACCUGAGAUGGUGUUCGUUUGGCGUUUAUAUGGUGGCGCCAUAGCAAUUUCCUUUCCAUAUGGACGCCAAUGUAUUCAACUACGUCUUUGUGGGGAAUGUAUCCUUCAAACAGACUAAUUUGUGGCGUAUUGUUGACGGGUGUGAGAUGUUUGCGAGUAAACACAAUAGCUUCAGACUUAGUUGUGUUUACUUUGAUUCGCCAGGUCGUGCACCACUGCUGAAACAGUGAGUGCGACUUGAAGCCUGUUUGUGGCUAGCUGGAGGUUGUGGGACCUGCUAUACAGUACUCUGUCGUUUGCAUAGCAGCCCAGCUUGACUAGGCGGUGUGCGGGGCGUAGCAUGUCGCUGAUGUAUAUAUUGAAGAGGACAGGGCCCAGGAUGAUUCCCUGUGGCAUUCCUGCUCUUAUUUGUUUUAAGUCAGAUAGAGCCCCUUCUGUAAAUACUCUAAAGGUUCUGUCUGCUAAGUAGGACGCGACUAGCUUGAUGUAGCAGUCUGGGAAUCCUGUUUGGUAGAGUUUGUAGAUUAGCCCCGUAUGAAAUACUCUGUCGAAGGCUUUUUCUACGUCUAUAAACGUAGCUACUACGUAGUCAUAUGCGUUAAAUGUGCUUGUUAUCUCUUCUGUGAGGCGCACUAGUUGGUAUACUGUCGAAUGAGUACUACGAAAGCCGAACUGUUCAUUUGGUAGUAUGUUGUUGUAAAUGUGUCGAUUGAGUCGAUGUAGUAAAAUACUCUCGGCGACUUUCGACACAGUACUUAAUAGCAGUGGCGGCUGGUGCCUUUUGAAAAUAGGGGUUCACAGCAUUGGGCUCUUUGUAUAAAGAAUCACCGACCCCCCCCCCCCCCCAUCCCUUUUGAAGCGAGGGGUCCGUAGGCCUCCCCCUGGAAAAAAUUGUAUUUUAAGGUGUAAAAUGGUGCUUUUUGGGUAUUUUAAAUCACAUAAAUACCAACAAUUUUUUCCAAGUUAUUGUGGGGCGAAAGUGAAGUUUUUACCUCCAAAAUAGCCACCGGAUAUGUCGCUCACACUGAUAAUAUAGCAAAUGUUAAAUUAUGCAGUGUGAAGUCUUUUUAAAAUAAAUACAAAUGAUUACCAUAAAAUGUAAAGUACACCAAAUUCUGAAACAGUUUGCUAGCAAGAGUGUUAUUGAUGUGACCAGUUUUAAGUAAGGUCUAUAAUUUUAUCCAUUGUUUUGUUGGUAAUUAUAUAUAAAUAUAUAUAUUGUAUUUACAACAGCAUUACAUUUACAAUAUGUAAAUACAGCAUUGACUUACAAAAUUUGAAGUACCGGUAGUUUAUACUUUACCUUUGAACUUACUUUCCUUAAGCACUAAACUAUAAUUACAGUAGUACAAUAGUAAUAUAAAUAUUAUAUUCACAAAUUUAAUUUAAUUUUCAAUUUUUUCCUUUGACAGAACUUUCUUUGAGCAUCACUAUAUACAUCUUAACUUGAAACGAAUCUGAACAAUUCACUGUAAAAUGAGCUGAACAAUUCAUUUCGCCUAAAAAUGAAGUUGAACAAUUUACGAACUCUGGUUUUAACAACAUAGGAAAACAUAAUGUGAGGAUAUUAUUUAGAAUAUUAUUGAAAUUGAAAUACUUAAGUGCAGUUCUUAUAAACUAAAUCUAUGAAUCUAUCGUUCUAUGUUUUUAGAAGAAAAUAAUUCAAUGACCAUGUCAUUAAAAUUUGGUAUUUUGUUUAUCAUGUCUUUUUCUAUUGAAAGCAUGGCUAACGCACUGAGUCUGUCUUCACACAUUGUACUUCUUAACAAUGUUUUUAUCCUCUUCAGGGUUGAGAAACAUCGUUCAGCUUCAGCUGUAGUCAUCGGAACAGUUGAAAUAAUAAGUAACAAUUUGUGUGUUUCCGUAAACGUGGUCUGUAAAUUGUUUUCAAGGACAAACUGCAGAAGACUAGCUGAUCCAUCCAUAUCUCGGAAGUCGUGUCGCUGGUAAAUUACUGCUAGCUCAGUUUUAAAACGAGCCUUAUCUAUGAAAGGAUACGUUUUGGUUGUUUGUUCAAGAAGAUGAACAGGAAAUUGCUUAUCAUAUUCCUGGAAGUUUUCGGAAUCAAAAAGGCAUACCGCAGAAUAAUAUGUUGUGAAAGAAAACCUCUCCUUUACUUGAUUAGUAAUCACAUCACAUACUUCCUUGGCUACAACAGUUCUAUUUACAUGAACAUCUUCCACUUUCCUUUUUUUAGAAUGCUGCUCUGGCACCGACAUUUCAGUUCGCAUUCUCACUUUAUCCAUAUUCUCUCUUUCUUUCUCAAAUGAAAGUCGAAAACUGUCUACAUGUUUCCUGACUUUAUCGGCAUCGAUACUCCUUUUUUGUAGCUGAUUAAACAAAAUGUAUACGUGCGGCAUUAUAUUGUGAAAAACUGUCAGCCAAAAUACAAACACUGGAUCAUUCAACAUGCGCCGAAUAGCUCCCGACUGGUUGAUUGUUGUUGACUGCUUGCAUGACGACUUAAUUUCGUUCAUGCAUUCAAUCAGUUGUUUUCUGUACUCGUACACCGUGUUAACAGUACGACUCUUAAAAUUUCAUCUUGUAGAAGAAGCACGAGGAAUUCUCCUGAUAACGACGCCAUCAAGAACAGCAAUUCUCUGUGGUGAGCGGCUAAAGAAGUUAGUUAUAUCACUCAAAUUGGAAAAGAAUACACGGACUUGUUGGUUUUGGCUUGUAGAUUGUGCCACAAUUAAAUUCAACUGAUGCGCAUAACAAUGCACGUAAUGUGCAUAUAUAUCAUUUUGUUGAAUAAUGGCCUGAACACCAUUGUGAUGCCCACUCAUUACACUAGUCCCAUCAUAACUCUGAGAUAUCAAUUUCUCGAGUUUGUCAACAAUACUUUCCAAAACAAUGCGAAUACAUUCUGCGAUUGAUGCAGCAUCAUGUCCUGGAGGAUUUACAAACUGCCAGAAUCAUUCUACUGCUUGCCCGUUAGGUAACACAAAGCGAAAAACUAUAACCAACCUCUAAAAAUUCCAGGAUUAGCAGAUUCUUGUGUCUCGUCGUGACCUCGCAGCGCGAGUUCAAACGCCCCGCAAAAGUUUAUACAAUCUAUAAUUUUAGACAAGACAUAACUUAACGAUUUUUUGUAACUUGCUCGUUAUGUUGUUUAAUGUUCAAACGGUAGGCACAAUCAAGUUGUUGGCGAAUGUCUAAUUUCCCCAAAAGAUGAAACUCCAGGACGGAAUUCAAAUGUGUUUCUGCACUCUCAUGCUUCUUUAUUUUUUGACUUAAGUGACACAAAUCUGAGACGCCAAAACUCACCCAACUAGAUUCACCACUUCGUUUCGCGAAGAGCAGGCAGGGAAAACAAUAGAGCCGGUUGGUUUCUUCGCAUCCACAGAUCCACGAGUUUUUCCCGUAAAUGUCCUGCUUAAAUUCUGUCCUGAUUUCCCUAUUUUUUGACUUAAGUCACUAGCACUAUAGUAAAUUAGAGAACACCAGUGUUUUUAUGUCCGAGACUGUUAACUUACUCAAGGCCAUAACUAGUAACUUAACUUAGUAGCUAAAAAAACUUUUUAAAAGUCGCACUAAACGCACUUAAGUAGAACAAUAACACGAGACAAACAGCGCCGUCAUCAUCCUCGAAGAGCGAGCAAAAAUGGGAGAAACAGGACAAGAAAUGUUGCGCCGCGCACAGGAUAGUGUUGCGCACGACUGGACUGUGCUCCUAGGCUGGCUUAUGGGGAGCUACCCCCACCACGUCGCUCCGAGCCAAGCGGCGCGCCGUCGCCCGCCUAGCCACCACCGCACAUGCGAUACCAGCAAACAAAGCAGAGGCAAGCUGCGCUUAUUCUAUAGCGGUGGUUUUGGAAAAUAUUGCUAAUGGUUAUAAGACCAAAUGGGUUGCAUUUAUUUAUUAUUCGAUGUGUAUGAUAUUUAAGUAUUACAGUAGGCGCCUAUUUAAAUGAGGCGAAGGGGUUCACGUGCGAGUGUGCUCUAAUGCAAUAACCGCCACUGCUUAAUAGGCUGAUUGGCCUGUAGUUCUGGGGUAAUGUUUUAAUUUUACCCGGCUUGUGAAAUACUAUAACUUUAGCUUCCUUCCACUGGGAAGGGAAAAUAUUUAUUCUGACCAUCGCAUUAAUUAUGCAUUCAGCUAGAUAUGCUAGGGCCUCGUCCGGGAGUUGAGAACGACAGCCUGUGUGCUGUCAUUCCCAGGGGCUUUGCGCAGCUUCAUUUUUCUGAUAGCUCGCUUGAUAUCCUGUGCUUCGGUUGGCAAGGGUUUUGAGACUGUGGGCUGUCGCAAUUUAACACGAAGUUCGCGGUAAAUUUGCACUGUGAAUUGCCUGGCACAAGGCUGCAUGUUUGGCUGGAAGGCUGUUUCCAAGAAAUCGACGAAAGCCUGUGCCUUGUCUCGGGGCUGGAAAGCUACGACAUUGUUUGUUUGGAGGGGCGAGAUUUUAUCCGAUUUAUUCAAAAGUUGCUUUGUCAUUGUCCAGGCCCUACCUGGGUUUUGAGGCUUGCGAAUUACGCUUCCCACUAGCUGCUUCGCCAGAAUGAAAUUUCGUCGGAUGACUGUUUUUAGUUCGUUUAUUCGGCGUUUCGUAUGUUGUGUACGACGCCGCGUGUAUUCACGCCGCAGACGAUUUUUUUUUUUGGUGAAAUAUAGCUGCGGAUGUACUUUCGCAGUUCGUCAUGCGCUAACCUAACCUCCUUUUUUUUGGAUGCACUGGCUGAUACCAUCUUGGAUUUAUGUGGUAAGUUCUGUUAUCGCAGAAUCUAGGUUUUCGCUAUUAUCAAUGUUAAUUUCGGCCGCGUCAGGAAGAUUUACCGUUAAAUUGUUUUUAAAACGUUGACAGUCCACGUUCUUGUAAUCCAUAAUUUUACGCGGUGGGUUUGAGUCUAGAGUUGCGUCGUCGAAGAUUAAGUGAACAGGGGAAUGGUCCGACGACUUGUGUACAACCUCGAGUUCAAAUCCUUGGUUGGCACGCUUGUUAAGAGCGACAGAUAGACUAUCUAGUAUAUCGGGCAAGUUAUUGGGUCUGCCUGAGUCAUGUGUAGGCUCGGAGGGAGCAUGGACAUGAUAGUUUUUAAUUAGCUGGUGGGUAUAGGGUAGCCUACCAUUCGCUGUGACGCGCCUACAGUUCCACUCUAAGUGCUUCGCAUUUAUAUCGCCAACAGCGAGGAAGCUCGGGGCCGACCCGUACAGAGCGUCCAGAUCCGCCACACUGAGGGACCUACCAGGGACCGGAUACAUUAAUGAUAGUUUAAUUUGUUGGCGGUUGAUAUAGUCAAAUUAAUUCCUAUAGCUUCUAAAUUUUGAAAAUCGGGGAGCUGGCAGGCAGAGUGCUUGAUGUUGUUGUGGACUUCCAGGGCGAUUCUGCCACCUCUGGCAUCACGGUCGCACCUGUAAAUGUCAUUAUUUAGAAUGGUUAGUCUAUCAGUCAGUACUAAGUGCGUUUCACUUAUCGCAGCUAUCUUUAUUUUAUAUUUGUCCAGGUGGUUUAUGAAUUCCGGUAGUUUAUUUUUAAUACCGCGUGCUAUCCAGAGUAAGAGAGUAUGUAACUUAAACCUACUAGUCGAGGUUGUGUCACAACUCGGGGCCAAAUUAGUAGCCACCAUGGAUAGUGUCGGCAAGCGCACAGAAACAAUCCAUGGUAGCAGGGAUUUUGUCAGCCAUGGUUUUGGCUGGAUCAAGCCAAAUAACCAUAAAAUGGCACAGUGGGGCACUCUGCAGUUGGGCAUUGGCACUUAUGGCCUUAUUGCCCUGGAGGAUGGAUCGAACAUCCUCCAGCUGUGGCACUGUGCCGUUGUGCACUUGUUGUGUGGGCAUGCGCCCAUUAUUGCUUAUAUGUUGUUUAAUUAAAUGCAAACUGGGAGGCUACUUUUUUUUUAUAUCUUUUUUUAAUAACUCAUUGUUUUUAACUUUUGAUUAUUUGAAGAAUAAUGAAAUAAUAAUUAUUUUAAGUAUCAAUUUGUAAGAAAUAAUUGUUUUUGUAUAAAAAUCUUUUUUUUGUUAAAAGAUAUUUAUGUCUUUGUUAAGAUUUGUGGAUUUAAAAGAAAAACAUAUGGACUUUAAAAGACUUUAAACAUCAUAAAUUCCUUUUUCCUUUUGUUUAUAUUAAUAUUGUGGUUAAGAUUAAUUAUUGAGUUAUUGCACUUAAGUGCAGGAAAGUGUAACUUUUUAAGUUUCUCAUCUCUAUGUAUUGUCAUAUCUAUGGUCAUCUUCAUAUUGGAAAGGAAAAGGUAGCACUUUCCUUUCUGUUUUUGUCAGCCAUAAUGUAGACAUCAAAAUUUUUGUGCUCGUCACGUAUCUAUCGACAUCCAUGUCGAAAGUUGUGUAUUUACUACCGCAUUAGCGGUCCGGGAGUUGGCGACCUCUCGCUGCCCCAUGCCUGAGGUGUGAUCCAUAAGCUUCGCCCAUAACAUCUGGGCACCCCAGGGCUUGUCCCGUGGUUCUACGGCGAUGGGAGCCGCCAACAAAUAUCCCAGGAAAGUUUUCGACGACUAAAUCCUAAGCAUGCAGCAUGGGUAGUUAACCUGUUUCGGCCACGCGUAUCUUGCAAUUUCAUCGACUAUUUCAUCAAACUACCCCUUUGGCAUCGUAAUCUACAUUUAAUUCCUGAGUAAUAUUUUAAUUCUUUCUGUAUCUUAAAUUUACGUUAAUUAUUUUGAAAAUGUAACUAAGUAAUAAUCAUUUUGAAAAAUGUAACUAAUUAAUCAUAUUGUGAAGAUGUAACUAAGUAAAAAAAAUGUUGGGGCCCCGUUUUGUUUUGAAUGUACGAAUACUCAAUUAAUACUCUUUAUUGUGUUUUAAAUAAAUAUGUUUUGUUAUGGCUGACCCGAUAUCAGUGUGUAUUUUAUGUUGCAAUUACCUAACCUUUUUAUUUAAUUUCUUAUCUAUAUAAAUUCUUAACAGGUUAUCAACUUUUGUUCGGUAGUUUUCCCAGUCGGCAUAUUUUCUCUCUACUCGUUAUUUAUUCAAUACAGCAAAGCAAUGCCAUUCAACCUAAGAUCCCGGAGUCUUCCGUCGUAAAUUACCUUGGUGAGGUUUAGCAAACCGAAACGAGUAAUUACCGGCACAGCACCUGCGUGUGGUGGCGGGUGUGGGUGGGGCAUUUGGCUACACUGGGGCUGCGUCAACAGCCACUGUCUCGGCAGCGACAGGCACCGCUCGCUGCGAGUUCUGCACUGGUUUUUCCUGGGUUGAGGCAGCUGGUACAGCUGGGGUAGGCUGUUUGGGCCUUCCAUUGCCAUUUUUGUGGCCAGUCCAACUUUUCUUGGGCUGUUUUUGUUGCGUCUGCCUCGGUUUACGCAGCUAGGGAUUGUUUGUGAGCACUGGGUAGUCCAGCUCAUUGUAGCUGGGCUCGAAGUGCUGCUGCAGGGCCUCGAACCUGUUGCCUCCUGCCUGGACCAUGUACUGGCUUAGGGUCGGGGGCGGGGGGUACCAUGAGGUAGCCCGAGGGGGUUUCUGUGGCAGGGGCUGUUUUGUAGCGUGCUGAUUCGCGCGCAUGUCACGGUGAGACUGUUGUUCGCGCGCCUUGCGGACCUGGGGAGGAAGGUGCCUGCGGCUCUCCUUCUUGUAAGCACUUCAGCCCUUGUAGUUGGCGCAGUGAUGUUUGUCACAGAGAGCACACUUUCUGUGCUCCUGUUGCCCGGCCAGAGGGCAGUCGGGGACGUGCUGCGGGCCACUGCACCACCUUAAGACUUGGGUGGCCCGGCAGCCCUUGCCAACGUGAUUGAAUCGCUGGCACUUGCUGCACUGACUAGGGCGAGAGGGGCGACGGUAGUCGUCGACACGGGUGGCCAUGCUGGCGAACUCCUUGAGGGAGAGGAUGCGCUCAGAGUCGCAGCUCUGAGGCUCCUUUAUUACCAGUGCGUCGCCCUUCUCGCGGCGCUGUUGGUUCUCAAGGAACCAACAGUUCUGCACUGGUAGGUUAGCAGCAUUGAACUCCUGUUGCAGGAAGUACUGGGGAGUGCGGAUGUGUAGGCCAUGCAAAACAAUUUUCUUGAGCAUUACGUCCCGCUUAAGCAGGAUGGAAUGCUGGGCUCCUAUGGCCUCCAGGGGCCUUGAUGGCUCAGUGGUAUUCCGGGAUACUGGCUGUGUGAAUCAUAAGCUCGUCAUGGCAGCGGUUCUGGCAGACAAAUUUCUCUGCCAGAGCUGUUUUCAGGGCGUGAUAGACCCUCGGGUAUUGGUGCCCUGCAUCCAGGAACACGAAUAGUGGCUUCACUUUGGGAGCCUUGGUCGCCGGCGCUGAAAGAACUUGGGGGGCGGGAGUAGGGGCAGGGCCCUCCUCGUAGCUGCUGUCCGCAUUUCGGUCGCUGUGGAAACGCUUUGCCUUUUUUUCGAGACUGUGGUCCAGCCAGGCUGGUCACCACUGCCUGAGGGGCUUUCGUCUUCCUAUCGCUCAGUUGCACCCACUGACCCGCUAGUUAGCUAGGCUACAGGGGUUAUAACACCCCGGGUGUCGCUGAGUGUGUCAGCCGUCAAUACAAUACCUUCCCUGUAAUAACUGUGACCGCCUGUGCGCACAAGGCACACAGGCCCCUUUCAAGAGUUGUCUGCUGUCGGCUGUGAUAGUACUCAGAAGUGCUAUCAAAGGCUUAACAAGCCAGACCGCAGGAGUUGCUACGAGACACGUCCUUCCUUCUCCGCGGCGCAGCUGGAACCCCCUUCAGAAGAAGAAGGAAGCACUUCCCGAGGCUUAAAUACAUAACCCUAGAGUGCGCGGCGCACGCGCAGAGGCCUGGAGAAAGGGGUGAGGAUCGAAGCAAGGAAGGGAAAGGGAUAAUGAUGACACCAAAAAUGUGGUGAAGGGAAGAGGGUAGUGGGGGCAGGGGUGGCAGCUUGAAAUGGAGGUAAUAUCAUUACAGCACUAAACCAAGCUGAGGUGUGUUUCGGCGGGUAUUCCUGGCGCCUGAGAUUACCGUAGCUUAGCUGAGGGGUGUUUUAUUAGGAACAUCUGGUGCCUGAGAUGGCACCUGUUGAUUCUGCUGAGGCUUAGACCCAUCACAGAAACUCAAAAACCAUUUUUUCUCUGGGACCGGAGAAGAUGGACACUGUGGAUAACUCAAAAUGUUAAAUUUGUCUAAUCGAAAUACUGACAGUAAUUUACAUUUUAACAUCCAUAUUUCCUUUAUCUAUAGUCAUUUUGUGGCAGCUCUUAACUUUUAAUUUUUCCAUCUGUUUAUUCUUCUUAGAUAAAUUAUUAUAAAUUCAUCCGUAUUGACUAGAAAUUGUUUGUUAUAUCGCUUUUAAAAAAUAUAGUAUAUCAUAUAAUCAUAUAAUCGCUUUAGUAAGCACAGCAAGAUAUAUUCUGUGCUGGUGACUGUGUUCUUAUUAGAAAAAAAUCUAAGAUUAUUUUUCAAUAAACAAAACAUAACAUUUUAUAUUUUAACACGGAUAGGUAGGUACACAAUUUUCAAGCUGCAGUAAACCUUUGAAUUUCAAAAUUACUACAGCAAAACCCCUUAUUUGCACUUUUCAUGGGGACAAAGUAAAAAAGUGUAAAAAGCGGGAAAGUGUAAAUAAAGGGAAAAGUAUAAAAAGGAGUACAGUUUACCUUAUUUAGAAUUUUUUUCCUUUUGUUUAAUAGCACAUACUACAAUGCAGGUACAAACACACUAACAACAAAUUUUACUUUAGUAUUUCAUCCAUUAUUAAUUUACCACAUUUGACAAAAAUAAAAAAAAGAAUGAAAGCCAAAAUGUUUUUCUGAUUACUUCCUAAAAAUAAAUUUGAAAUUUUCUUCUGCUUGCUUUUUUGGCUGUUCAAGAUUAUUUGCCUCUCCAAAUUAUAAAUACAGUUGCAACCGGCAGGGUUUAUAACAAAUACGGGCUACAUACACAUUGCUCACAGUAAAAAUUUUUUUAAGAAAAGGCCGCAAAUUGUUGAAUAUUUACCGUCAAUAGCGCGCCAAACGCGGAGAAAGGUCAUUGUACUCGGUCAGCUGCUGUAACGACGCGGCGGCGCAUGCGCACUCUAUGCUCCGCCCAGACUCAUGACUCAUGACGCCAUCAGCCGCCAACCAAUAGAUGCGAGCUUAGCGGAAAAAAAUAUAAGCUCCACCUCCCGUGUACCAAUUUUAUCCAGUUCUAAUACCAGUUUAUUGGUAUACGCACCAGUUUUCUCGCUGCCGUGACAUGUUCAAGUUUACGUUUAUCAUGAUGUCUUGAUACCAAUAAUUAAUUAUUUACGAUCCCCAGAAAUAAAUGGUUAGUUUAAAAAAUAUGGCGUCAACUGUACAACACUUCCCAAAUUAUAAAAGACGUAUAAAACAGUUACCAAGACACCGCUCAUUUUAUCUUGUGAAGUUUAUGUCUCGUACCAGUAUUUCGGCUAAGUUGUGACAUAAAUACAGUAUCAGAACUUACAAGCAGCCAUGUUUGUACAUUCAUGAGUUUACGUUUUUCCCUCGUGCAUUUUAGAUUGUCUCCUGCUAUAAUUACUCGUACUUUUACACGCCUAGGCUUAAAUUAUUACAUGUUUAGAAAUAAAAGCAACUUUUCAUGUUAUAAAAUAUGUAUAUUUUGCUAUUUAAAAUGUUCAUUGCCUACUAGCUCCACGGUAUUUUCUGGUUGUUUAUGGUUGUUACGUGACGUAAAUAGCGGGAUUGAUUCGAUUUUUGAGACGUAAUUCGCGGGAAAGUAUUGUAUUGGACUAUAUGGGAACCAAACGGGACCUGAAGAAUAUAGUGCAAAUAACGGGAAAACGUAAAUAACGGUAACGUAAAUAAGGGGUUUCGCUGUAUUUGUUCAUGACUGAAAAUGUAGUGGUAUAUUUAACAAUGCCGGUUUCAGUUAUGAAUGAAAGGAUGAAUGGGCCUAAAGUUUACUAAAGAAAUGCCAGUGAGGUGACGAGAUGAGAAUGGCAGCCCCGAGGGAAUGAGCAAGCACACUGAGGAACCCCGCUGGCGCACAGCAAGGUGCACUACGUCUCAGUUGUUGGGAAGUCCGGGUUCUUGCUCCGCUGGGAACUCCACAGUGGUGUAUACAUGAAAAAUACAUAAAAUCAUUCCAAAACAUUAAAAAUUAAUUAAAUUGGCAUUUGAAGUGAAUUUUUUAAUGGCUUUUAUUACAAAUGUCUACAAUUUGCAAUACUUGCUUACUUUCAUUUUGUUAAGCAUAAAAGCUGUUAAUAAAGCCCUGGGUAGCCGUGCUGCAACGUAUAAACUUUAAACAUAACUUGCCAUCUUCAAAGUUUGAUGUCAGUGACAAUGUUUUCGUAUAACAAUUUAAAUGUUCUUUCUCCAUUGCUUAUCAGACUACAGAAAAGUAGUGUACGAUAGGAUAGUACAAAUGAUUUAAAGGAAAGUUAAUUAAUUUUUUUAUAGUAGUUAUUUGUUUUGCUUGUAUUUUUGUUUUGCCCACAAUAGCUAAAUGCCUAAGGCUAGCAUUGCACCAGGCCUCUAUAUAUCCAUAUGAUUGUUAAUUGUUAAUUGUGUUUUUUUUUUUUUUUUUUUUUUGUGUUUUCAAGUCUCUAUUUGUUGUAAUUGUUUUUGUGAAAAUCUUUGAUAGAAAUUUGUGUGUUAUAUGUAAUGAGUAUAAAUAUUUUUUAUUUAAUUUUUGCUCGGUUAUUUCUAAGAUUUUCCAAGAAUACAUUUUACUGUAUUAUGAUUUUUAAAUUAAUUUGAAUACUUUGUGUUUAUUUUAUCAGUGUGCUAAGACAUAUGUUAUAUUUCCUUAACUUUUAUGUUAAUGUGUAACCUAAAAAAUGUUAACCCAGCUGUGUGUAAGAAAAUAAUGUGCAUUUAAAGCAUUAGUUAGUUUGGUGUGCAUUUAAAGCAUUAGUUAGUUUGGUGAAGGUGUUUCUUUGAAUAUGUAAUUAUGUGGUUAUUUUUCUUUUAUUCCUUGUAUUGGAUUGUGUUAAAAAGGAAUUUGUUUAUAUGUAUUGGAAAUGAAAAAAGUAAUAUAAUUCAUUGUAUUAAA